This is a long non-coding RNA of Engraulis encrasicolus (European anchovy), 261 nucleotides long. RefSeq lists it as uncharacterized. The transcript has 4 exons. Lineage: Eukaryota; Metazoa; Chordata; Actinopteri; Clupeiformes; Engraulidae. The record is from RefSeq and is a predicted model, not a curated record.
UUUAGGAUGUUCCAGAUGGAUCAAGUACUGGGUUGCAGCCAGCACCAUCACUCAGUACAUGGCAAAGCCAAACACAGCAUGUUCCAGAUGGAUCAAGUACUGGGUUGCAGCCAGCACCAUCACUCUGUACAGGGCAAAGCCAAACACAGGACACAACAGAACACUACCUCAGAGCAUCUCAACCAGUCCCAAGAUCCUGCAGUAAUGGACUAGGCCAACAGGAUUCUGAGGGGGAUGACCUUAUAUACCCAGGAGCACCUA